UUUAAAAAUAAAACUCCUGGAGUAGCCCAAGUCUUCCCAGCUCUCUACUUCGAAAGCUAACGUGGCUUUGAGCAGUGCCGAUACUGGAGUUGACUGGGACUUUUCCUGCUUCCCUCUGUGGGAUGAUUCUGGCCAACUUGGAGCCCAGGUGGCUUGUGUGGAUUGGGACCCAAAGGCAAAUUUGAACUUGAGAACCAAGGCGUUUUGGAAGAUGCGUGCCCUCCUAUGAGCUUCCAGUGCGACCCUCACACAGAGCACUUCUGCCAAUGGGUGUGGCGUUGAUGUUUCUUUGAAAGCAAAUCCGUGCUGCAGUCAGAGCUGAGGAUGGCGCAGGCCUGGCUACCAAGGACCCGGAUGUAGAGAGGGCAGUUUCACCAUUGAAGACACGGCUCAUGGAAAAAUCAACCUGUCAGGACAGGUGGCUUUAGUGUACUGGGUACUGCAGGGGCACAGGGUCUCCCAGCCACAUAGACCAAAGCGUCCAGGACCCUGGCUACGGAUGCACAUAGGAGGCAGGGUUCACGCCCACUGGGUAACGCACUUGACACAGAUCCACGGGUCUGACGCCAGCUUCCCACUUUCUUUCACUCUAUCGUGGAUUCAUUCUGAGCCUAGAAUGCACCAAGUACUGUUGGCAGCACCUGGAGUACAAGAGCGAACGCAACAUCAAGCGCUUGCCCUUGGGGAACCUGCAUCCUAACCAGGGAAUCAGAGAAUAAGCAAGCGAGUAGACAGAUAUGGAACGAGUUGUAGGAGGAGACGAGCGUUAUGACGACACAGUGGGCAGGGAGACUGAGCGAGGGUGGGGAAGCUGCGUCAGACCCUGCCAGUCCUCCGAGUGCAUAAACUAUUUCAUUCCUUGGGGCAAAAUACUUUGAAUAUUCUUCGAGGUCCUGCGAGAUCCGACCACCCUUCCCACGACCUCUCUGCCCUCACCUCCUCCUUCUCCUUCCUCCCCUCCCCUCACCAGUGACUCUGACCGAGAUGCUGCGUCUGGAAUGUGCUGCUGCCAAGCCCAGGAGAGUCUCAGCCAGCCUCCUGCCAGGCACGUUCCUUCCGGGGAGGGUUUUCUCCAGCAAUCUCCUGCCUGAGCUGCUCUCGCCCAAGCAUGCUCUUCCCUCCCCGCUUCGCCUCAUUCAUGUCUUCACUCGGAUUUCACCUGAUUUUUAAUUACUUACUUAUUUUUUUAAAGACUUACUUAUUUGAAAAAGUUACAGGGAGAGGGAGAGACACUCAGAAAGAGAGAGAUAUCUUCCAUUGCUUGUUCACUCCCACAUGGCCACGAUGACUGGAGCUGGGGCUGAGCCAAAGCCAGGAGCCAGGAGCCAAAUGCUCCUUCUGGGUCGCCCAUGUGGAUGGCAGGAGUUCAGGUCCUUGGGCCAUCCUCCACUGCUUUCCUAGGUGCAUUAGCAGGAAGCGGGAUCACAAGUGGAGCAGCUAGGACUCAAACCAGCACCCGUACAAGAUGCUGUGACACGAUGCAGGCACCUAGAUUUCUUGAGAUUUGCCCCACGCCAUAGAUGAUAUGCAAUCUGCUAUCCUAUCCCCAGUUCCACAUCUACAAUAUCUCUUACGCUAUGAACCUUUCUUCUGUAACUUACCACAUCCAACGCAUCCCAUCACAUACUUGGCAUCCUUUGGUGCGUCUGCUUCAUCACUCGACUCGUCAGACCCCAUGCUGCAGUCACUGGACACUUUAGCUUGUGCCUACAAAGAGCCAUAAACUUCUGGGAGUUUGCAUCCACAGAUGGUGGGCCUCCUCGGGCAAUGACUAAUAAGGGCCAAAGAGCCCUUAUUAUAAGGGCCAGCUUCCUGGCCCGGAUGAAUCCAGACAUAAAGGACACUCCAAAGUUCUGCAGGAUCCAACCAAAGCUUUGCUCCCAGGAAUUUCACCUGCAAUCAUAUCUUUGCUUUACUUCUGCCCCUUCCCUCCUUUCCUGGUCGACUCUAACCCUCACUGGGUUCUCCUGGAAACAUUCCUUGAGACAUGGCUUCCCCCAAAUCCUCAUCUCAGAAUCUUCUGAGGAAGUAGUCUUGGACUAAGGAGCAGCCGUAGGAGGAACAGGGGUGGGUCAGCCCAUGGAGCAGGAAGGAGGGCGGAGUGUCAGGUUAGAUGGGUGGUGAGUCUGGGAGAGGGAAGAGAGGGAGGGUGCCUUCUGGGUGUUUCUAUGGUGUCAGUCACGUGGAAAACAAGGUCUCCAGUUGGGAGGGGAGGAAUGCUGCAGGAUUUGAGGAGAUGUCUGGGAGAGGGAAAGAAUGAGUUCCCCGAGAAAACGUGGCCAGUCCUGCUCCUGCUUUAACUCAACAUUUGCGUCUAGGUGGCUCGAGUUUUUGAGAACUCGGUGAAUAUGGCAAAUCCCGCUGCCAAAGCACCGGUUUCACCCACGGAGGAAGGUAACAAGAACACAGAAGUGCUGAGGGAGUGUCUGCGGCUGACGUUGCCUUGUGUCUCCCAACAGAGCAGCUGGCACCACCACGAGUUAAACGUUUCUCUCUGUGACAUCAUCACCGCUCACGCAGAGGCUGGACAUGAUGGGGAAACCUCACGUGCCUCUGGAAUGACUGGAAUGAGGAAGAAGUCUCCCAUCUCCUGUCUGAACACACAGUCUGUGUGCUUUUUUAAUUCCUAAUAGCAUGGACUCAUCCCUUUCCCCAUCUCAGUUAGAAAUAGUUUAUCAAUAUGAUGUAUGUUCCAGUGUUUAUCCAGGUAUCUGCACAGCCAACUCUCCAGCAGCCCUGCUGUUGGUUAAUCAUGCUCCUUCCAGCCCUCAAGGAGGCAGAGUGGACAGUGAGAGAGAGAGACAGAGAGAAAGGUCUUCCUUUUCUGUUGGUUCAUCCCCUCAAUGGCCACUGCGGCUGGCGCACUGCGCUGAUCCGAAGCCAGGAACCAGGUGCUUCUCCUAGUCUCCCAUGCGGGUGCAGGGCCCCAGGACUUGGGCCAUCCUCCACUGCACUCCUGGGCCACAGCAGAGAGAUGGACAGGAAGAGGAGCGACUGGGACAGAAUCCGACCAGGACUAGACCCAGUGUGCCGAUGCCGCAGGCUGAGGAUUAGCCUAGUGAGCCAUGGCGCCAGCCAACACACAAUUAUUCUUAGGUGUUUAAAUUUAACUGAAAAGUGAUCCCUAUUAAAUAUAAGAGUGGGAAAAAGAGAGGGAGGAGAUGUACAGUUAAGCACAUGCUCACUCGGACUUACCUCUAAUGGUAGAGUUAGAAACUUGCCAGGGGAUUCCAAUUCAAUUCCAUCAAGGUGGCAUGUACCAAUGCCAUCUCACUAGUCAAAGUGAUCAGUUUCAGUUCAAAAUUAUAUGAUAUUAUAUUUUCAGUUCAAAAUCAUAAUGAUGGGAUUAAGUGUCAAAGGGAUCACAUAAACAAGACUAGUGUCUGCUAAUACUAACUGAUAGAAUAAAAAAGGAGAGAACAAUCCAACAUGGGAAGCGGGAUACACAGCAGACUCUUAGAAUGGCAGAUGUCCUAAACAGCACUCUGGCCUCAGAAUCAGCCCUUAAGGCAUUCAGAUCUGGCUAAAAAAGCCCAUGAGAGUAUUUCAGGCACGGAAAGCCAAGACACUCUGGCAAAAAAAGAAAAAAUGAAAAGAUCUCUGUGAGUGAGAUCCCAGUGGAAAGAACGGGCCAUCAAAGAAGAAGGUACCUUUCUCUGAAGGGAGGAGAGAACUUCCACUUUGACUAUGGCCUUGUCUAAAUAAGAUCAGAGUUGUCAACCUCAAGAGGCUUCCAUAGCCUUGGCAGCUCAUGACAAGAGCCUCGGGUGAUUACUGACACCAUAAAUAAGAGUGUCAAUUGUUAAAUCAACAAUGGGAGUCACUGUGCACUUACUCCCCAUGUAGGAUCUCUGUCCUUAAUGUGUUGUACUAUGUGAAUUAUGGUAUAACUAGUACUCAAACAGUACUUUAUACUUUGUGUUUCUGUGUGGGUGCAAACUGUUGAAAUCUUUACUUAGUAUAUAAUAAAUUGAUCUUCUGUAUAUAAAGAUAAUUGAAAAUGAAUCUUGAUGAAGAAUGGGAUGGGAGAGGAAGUGGGAGAUGGGAUGGUUGUGGGUGGAGGGUGGUUAUGGAGGGAAAAAGCCGCUGU
Molecule: non-coding RNA, 4090 nt
Organism: Oryctolagus cuniculus (rabbit)
Lineage: Eukaryota; Metazoa; Chordata; Mammalia; Lagomorpha; Leporidae
Source: RefSeq, a predicted model, not a curated record